AAACUAACUAGGAUGCCUUCAGUAACGGCGAGCGAAGCAGGCAUAGCUCAAAUUUGUAAUCUGGCGGUUCUGCCGUCCGAGUUGUAAUUUCUAGAGGCGUGUCCGGCAGGCGCCCCGGUUCAAGUCCGCUGGAACGCGGCGUCAUGGAGGGUGAGAAUCCCGUGAUUGACUGGGUGUACGUCGGCCGUGUGGACCGUCUUCGAAGAGUCGAGUUGUUUGGGAAUGCAGCUCUAAUUGGGAGGUAAACUUCUUCUAAAGCUAAAUAUUGGCCAGAGACCGAUAGCGAACAAGUAGUGUGAACGAAAGAUGAAAAGCACUUUGAAAAGAGAGUUAAAAAGUACGUGAAAUUGUUGAAAGGGAAGCGCUUGGAAUCAGACUUCCGGUGCGGGCUGUCCUGGCUUCUGUCAGGAUCAACAGCUCGUGCAUGGAGGCCAGCAUCAGUUUUGACGGUCGGAUAAAGGCAGCGAGAAGGUGGCUCCCUCGGGAGUGUUAUAGCUCGUUGUGCAAUACGGCCAGUCGGGACUGAGGACCGCGGCUCUGCCUAGGAUGCUGGCGUAAUGGUUGUAAGCGACCCGUCUUGAACCACGGACCA
Molecule: ribosomal RNA, 592 nt
Filed under: Protomyces sp.
Lineage: Eukaryota; Fungi; Ascomycota; Taphrinomycetes; Taphrinales; Protomycetaceae
Description: partial large subunit ribosomal RNA
Rfam family: Eukaryotic large subunit ribosomal RNA
Source: RNAcentral